Non-coding RNA from Schizosaccharomyces pombe (fission yeast), 214 nucleotides. Lineage: Eukaryota; Fungi; Ascomycota; Schizosaccharomycetes; Schizosaccharomycetales; Schizosaccharomycetaceae. The record is from the annotation of a GenBank genome assembly.
GCAUGAUCAUAGCUAGCUUGAAUUGGUUCUAUCUUGUUACCAAAGAAGUUGAACUCCCGGUUGAAAAGUGAAUAAUCAAUGAUUCCAAUGAUUUUUACUUCAGACCUAGGUGAAGGGGGUGAAGAUAAAAUGUUGAUGAGUUUACCAUCUUUUACCUUUGAGCUAAAUGCCUUAACCGCUAAUGUACUAGUUUCAGGGAAGCUGGCGGCAUCAA